UCCUAUCAUAGAUCCAUUGGGGUCUUGAAAUUUUAUAAAUAUGAUAAGAAUGGAAACAGCAACCCUAGUCUCCAUCUUUAUAUCUGGUUACUUGUAAGUUUUACUGGGUACGCCUUAUAUACCGCUUUUGGGCAACCUUCUCAACAACUAAGAGAUCCAUUCGAGGAACAUGGAGACUAGUUGAAGUACUGAGCCUCCCGGUAUCGGGAGGCUCAGUACUUCAACUGAGAUAAUGAAGAAUUAUUUCACCUUUUUAGUUCUUUUUAGUUGGAACUUUAGGCGGUUCUCGAAAAACGAUAGCGAAAAAAAAUUAUCUCUAGAGNNN
Molecule: long non-coding RNA, 325 nt
Filed under: Nicotiana tabacum (common tobacco)
Lineage: Eukaryota; Viridiplantae; Streptophyta; Magnoliopsida; Solanales; Solanaceae
Description: long non-coding RNA (NTAB_LNC018366)
Source: RNAcentral